UCAUGGCUCAGAACGAACGCUGGCGGCAGGCUUAACACAUGCAAGUCGAACGCCCCGCAAGGGGAGUGGCAGACGGGUGAGUAACGCGUGGGAAUCUACCCAACCCUACGGAAUAGCUCCGGGAAACUGGAAUUAAUACCGUAUACGCCCUUCGGGGGAAAGAUUUAUCGGGGAUGGAUGAGCCCGCGUUGGAUUAGCUAGUUGGUGGGGUAAAGGCCUACCAAGGCGACGAUCCAUAGCUGGUCUGAGAGGAUGACCAGCCACAUUGGGACUGAGACACGGCCCAAACUCCUACGGGAGGCAGCAGUGGGGAAUAUUGGACAAUGGGCGCAAGCCUGAUCCAGCCAUGCCGCGUGAGUAGAUGAAGGUCUUAGGAUUGUAAAGCUCUUUCAGUGGGGACGAUAAUGACGUACCCACAGAAG
Molecule: ribosomal RNA, 422 nt
Filed under: Belnapia moabensis
Lineage: Bacteria; Pseudomonadati; Pseudomonadota; Alphaproteobacteria; Acetobacterales; Roseomonadaceae
Description: bacterial SSU rRNA
Rfam family: Bacterial small subunit ribosomal RNA
Source: RNAcentral